CCUACGGGAGGCAGCAGUGAGGAAUAUUGGUCAAUGGACGCUAGUCUGAACCAGCCAAGUAGCGUGCAGGAUGACUGCCCUAUGGGUUGUAAACUGCUUUUAUAUGGGAAUAAAGUGCAGUACGUAUACCGCGUUGCAUGUAUCUUAUGAAUAAGGAUCGGCUAACUCCGUGCCAGCAGCCGCGGUAAUACGGAGGAUUCGAGCGUUAUCCGGAUUUAUUGGGUUUAAAGGGGGCGUAGGCGGGUUGUUAAGUCAGUUGUGAAAGUUUGCGGCUCAACCGUGGAAUUGCAGUUGAUACUGGCGGCCUUGAGUACAGUAGAGGUAGGCGGAAUUCAUGGUGUAGCGGUGAAAUGCUUAGAUAUCACGAAGAACUCCGAUUGCGAAGGCAGCUUGCCGGACUGUAACUGACGCUGAGGCUCGAAAGUGUGGGUAUCAAACAGGAUUAGAUACCCGUGUAGUC
Molecule: ribosomal RNA, 460 nt
Filed under: uncultured bacterium
Lineage: Bacteria
Description: partial 16S ribosomal RNA
Rfam family: Bacterial small subunit ribosomal RNA
Source: RNAcentral